UACGUAGGGAGCAAGCGUUGUCCGGAAUCAUUGGGCGUAAAGCGCGCGUAGGUGGCCAUGUAAGUCCGCUGUGAAAGUCAAAGGCUCAACCUUUGAAAGCCGGUGGAUACUGCAUGGCUAGAGUACGGAAGAGGCGGGUGGAAUUCCUGGUGUAGCGGUGGAAUGCGCAGAUAUCAGGAGGAACACCGAUGGCGAAGGCAGCUCGCUGGGACGGUACUGACGCUGAGGCGCGAAAGCGUGGGGAGCAAACAGG
Molecule: ribosomal RNA, 253 nt
Filed under: uncultured bacterium
Lineage: Bacteria
Description: partial 16S ribosomal RNA
Rfam family: Bacterial small subunit ribosomal RNA
Source: RNAcentral